GGAUGCGAUCAUACCAGCACUAAAGCACCGGAUCCCAUCAGAACUCCGAAGUUAAGCGUGCUUGGGCGAGAGUAGUACUAGGAUGGGUAACCUCCUGGGAAGUCCUCGUGUUGCAUUCC
This 119-nucleotide ribosomal RNA is filed under the name Triticum aestivum (bread wheat). RNAcentral also lists the same sequence under 2 other names. Lineage: Eukaryota; Viridiplantae; Streptophyta; Magnoliopsida; Poales; Poaceae. The record is from RNAcentral.